GGAGCUAUAGCUCAGGGGUAGAGUGUGCGCCUUGCAUGCACGAGGUCCUGAGUUCAAUCCCCAGUACCUCCA
This is a transfer RNA of Camelus ferus (Wild Bactrian camel), 72 nucleotides long. It matches the Rfam family "tRNA". Rfam says of the family: Transfer RNA (tRNA) molecules are approximately 80 nucleotides in length. Their secondary structure includes four short double-helical elements and three loops (D, anti-codon, and T loops). The record is from Rfam. NCBI's taxonomy places the organism in Eukaryota, Metazoa, Chordata, Mammalia, Artiodactyla, Camelidae.